RNAcentral lists this ribosomal RNA (447 nucleotides) under uncultured bacterium. Its description in RNAcentral is "partial 16S ribosomal RNA". It matches the Rfam family "Bacterial small subunit ribosomal RNA", at positions 29 to 523 of the family's 1533-position model. The record is from RNAcentral.
AGCGAACGCUGGCGGCAGGCCUAACACAUGCAAGUCGAGCGCCCCGCAAGGGGAGCGGCAGACGGGAGAGUAACACGUGGGAACGUACCCUUCAGUUCGGAACAACCCAGGGAAACUUGGGCUAAUACCGGAUACGUCCGUAAGGAGAAAGAUUUAUCGCUGAAGGAUCGGCCCGCGUCUGAUUAGCUAGUUGGUGAGGUAACGGCUCACCAAGGCGACGAUCAGUAGCUGGUCUGAGAGGAUGAUCAGCCUCACUGGGACUGAGACCCGGCCCAGACUCCUACGGGAGGCAGCAGUGGGGAAUAUUGGACAAUGGGCGCAAGCCUGAUCCAGCCAUGCCGCGUGGAUGAUGAAGGCCCUAGGGUUGUAAAGUCCUUUCGGCGGGGAAGAUAAUGACGGUACCCGCAGAAGAAGCCCCGGCUAACUUCGUGCCAGCCGCCGCAGUAA